GACGAACGCUGACGGCGUGCUUAACACAUGCAAGUCGAGCGAUGAAACUACUUCGGUAGUGAAUUAGCGGCGAACGGGUGAGGAACACGUGAGGAAUCUGCCUUCUACACUGGGAUAACUCCGGGAAACCGGGGCUAAUACCGGAUAUGAAACUUGGUGGCAUCACCGAGUUUGGAAAGUUUUUCGGUAGAAGAUGACCUCGCGGCCUAUCAGCUUGUUGGUGAGGUAAUGGCUCACCAAGGCGACGACGGGUAGCCGGCCUGAGAGGGCGACCGGCCACACUGGGACUGAGACACGGCCCAGACUCCUACGGGAGGCAGCAGUGGGGAAUAUUGGGCAAUGGAGGAAACUCUGACCCAGCGACGCCGCGUGCGGGAUGAAGGCCUUCGGGUUGUAAACCGCUUUCAGUAGGGAAGAAGCGAAAGUGACGGUACCUACAGAA
This 442-nucleotide ribosomal RNA is filed under the name uncultured Actinomycetales bacterium. Its description in RNAcentral is "bacterial SSU rRNA". It matches the Rfam family "Bacterial small subunit ribosomal RNA", at positions 28 to 486 of the family's 1533-position model. The record is from RNAcentral. Lineage: Bacteria; Bacillati; Actinomycetota; Actinomycetes; Actinomycetales.